This is a non-coding RNA of Rattus norvegicus (Norway rat), 69 nucleotides long. NCBI's taxonomy places the organism in Eukaryota, Metazoa, Chordata, Mammalia, Rodentia, Muridae. The record is from Rfam.
GGGGAUUUAGCUCAGUGGUAGAGCACUUACCUAAGAAGUGCAAGGCCCUGGGUUCGAUCCCCAGCUCCG